This 419-nucleotide ribosomal RNA is filed under the name uncultured bacterium. RNAcentral describes it as "bacterial SSU rRNA". It matches the Rfam family "Bacterial small subunit ribosomal RNA", at positions 22 to 463 of the family's 1533-position model. The record is from RNAcentral.
GCUCAGAACGAACGCUGGCGGCAGGCCUAACACAUGCAAGUCGAACGGAUCCUUCGGGAUCAGUGGCGGACGGGUGAGGAACGCGUGGGAACCUGCCUUGGAGUGGGGAACAACCGCUGGAAACGGCGGCUAAUACCGCAUACGCCCUGAGGGGGAAAGGCUUUUCGAAGCCGCUCUGAGAGGGGCCCGCGUCCGAUUAGCUAGUUGGUGGGGUAAGAGCCUACCAAGGCAUCGAUCAGUAGCUGGUCUGAGAGGAUGAUCAGCCACACUGGGACUGAGACACGGCCCAGACUCCUACGGGAGGCAGCAGUGGGGAAUUUUCCGCAAUGGGCGAAAGCCUGACGGAGCAACGCCGCGUGAGGGAUGAAGGCCUCUGGGCUGUAAACCUCUUUUAUCAAGGAAGAAGAUCUGACGGACUU